UGGAUAGACACAGACAAAGCAGAAGAUACUGAAAAAGCAACUAAUUAUGGUUAUUAAAGAUUCAACAUCAUUCCACUAGCUGGAACAAUAUCUUUAGAACAAAGGGAUUGUAUGCUCAUAUUUGCCUCCUCUGCUAUUGGGAAAAGUUAACGCAUGGAAAAAGAAGCCAGCAGAGACAAAGCAUAUGAAUUGGCUGACUGCUAUACAGGAAAUCUCCUAAACAUCUGUUUUCAUAAUGUAUUUUCAUUAUAUGAGGCUGAAUUUAGAAUGACGUAAAAUAGGGCUGGGUCAUGUUAUAAGACAAAUGGACAGGGAGGGCAUGCUUCUCAAAAAAUGUGAGCUAUUGUCUAAGACUAACAAUAUUUAUCUAGCUAUAAAAAUAAGUUAAAUGAAUAAGUUAAGAUUGCCAAUGUUACUUCACAAUAAAUUCAGUCCUAUUUGUGUUGGAGUAAAUCUCAUAGAAGCACAUGAAGAACAGCAGUGAAACCAAGGAUUCUAGCAAGGCCAGCUAUUAGCAAAGCAGUAAGCAGGAACUGGACUAGAUACCAAAUGAUGGGGAAACAGACUCAUAGACCUAAGAACAUAGGAAGAAGAGAUGUAACAUCAACAGAAAGGCAAAAGGGGCAAUGCAGCAUCUCUGCCUUCUUCUGGGUAUUCCUCUUAAAUGGCUUGACAAUAACCACCAACCAGCACUGCCAUACAUGUGUCCUGUACCUAUCAGAGGCACUAGGGCAGUUUUGGAACAGAGAGCCCAUAGAAAGGCUACUGCUUAGAGAUAGCCAUUUUCUUCUUGGAGCUGGACCAGUGAAUUAGACGCAUGGAGGAGAGCUGGAAAAUCCCUUUUUGGAAGAGCUACACAAAACCAAAAUUUGGAAUUCGUAGCUAAUAACCAUAAAAAUUAAGAAAUGACUGUUGGAAGAGCACUGGAAAUCACCUGAUUAAGUUAAGAAAAACUAACUAGCUCAUGAGAAAAUUAUUUUCAGGCCAGCUGUAGCCUGUACCCUUUUGAAAAUCCCCUGACUAGUGAGUUCAUUUUUGUUGGAAUAUAGAAUUUUUCUUUUCUAAGCAGAUGUAAACUUGUCUUUCUGUGGUUGGCUUUGGAGCCCACAAGAUAAUUAAAUGGCAGUGCUAACUGAAAGCCUGGGCUGUGCUUAUAGGUUCAAGAGGCAGGUAGAAGACACUGGGUUGGGGAAGUAGGGCUAUGGAACUGUGGCUCUGGCUAAGAUUACUAAUGUCUGUGAGCGCUGGAAGAAGGGAAAUAGAAAUGAAAAAACAUGAAUAUGGUUGAUGGGCCAGACUGAGUGUUGAGGUCCUAUGAUGUAUCAAAGAAUGGCUUACAUGAAAGUUAUAAGGUGUGGAUGGAAAAGGUCAGUGUGGAAGAGAACAGAAUUACUAGCUUUAAAGCUCAGAGACAUCUGCUUUUCAGGAAAAAAAAA
This 1436-nucleotide long non-coding RNA is filed under the name Homo sapiens (human). RNAcentral describes it as "non-protein coding lnc-SLC9C1-2:13". The record is from RNAcentral. Lineage: Eukaryota; Metazoa; Chordata; Mammalia; Primates; Hominidae.